Non-coding RNA from Oryctolagus cuniculus (rabbit), 4608 nucleotides. The record is from RefSeq and is a predicted model, not a curated record. Lineage: Eukaryota; Metazoa; Chordata; Mammalia; Lagomorpha; Leporidae.
UCCACCAGUUGGUUCACUCCCCAAAUGGCCACAAGGGCCAGGGCUGGGCCAGGCUGAAGUUAGGAGCCAGGAGCUUCUUCUGAGUCUCCUACAUAGUUGCAGGGCCCCAAGAACUUGAGCCAUCCUCCACUGCUUUCCCAGGCACAUUAGCAGGGAGCUGGAUCACUAGAGGAGCAGCCAGGGCUUGAACCAGUGCCCAUAUGGAAUGAGGGUAUUACAAACAGUGGCUUAACCCAUUAUGCCACAGUGCUGGCCUCUAAGCAUCUUUUUUAAGAAAAUCUGACUUUAAAAAACAAUCUGACUUAUGCCAAAUCCUAUUUAUGAAGUGGGUUUUUAAGUCAUUUAAAGAGCACCCUAGGCUUUCAAAAGAUGUUUGUUUUAAAGAGUACAGUUGGCCUUUGGCCAAAAAAUAAAGUUUCAGUAAUGCACAGUAACCAUUGUAGCAUAAUUAGUGGCCAUGAAAUACCAGGUGCCCAAUCAAGCCUUUUCUACCCAUUUAAGAUGGAGCCAAGUCAAGCAAAAAUGCCCUGCCUAGCCAUACCCAGGAGUUCAAAAGCCCAGCCUUUGUCAUCAGGAAAGAAUUAAUUCAAAGAGCAAGGGCAUUAUUAGGCACAAGCAGGCAUUCUGUUGUAAAUACCUUUUGUUAAUACACGUUGAGAGCUAAACUUUCUCACAUUUGAAAGAGGCCCUGAGAGAGGGUUUAAGCAAGCCAGAAUCAAGGUUGUUUUCUUUUUCCCAUUUCUGACAGCAUAUCUGUGGGAUCCUCACUGUGAAGAGUGCUAGGCUCGGAGUCAGAUGGUUUCCUCAGCUACCAUCUGACUUAAAGUAGGUGGUGUUCCCUUAACAUAAAACAAGUGAACCUGAAGUGAAGAGAAAAGACAAAAUGUAAGAAUGCUACAGAGAAGAAAGAUACUAAUAGACCUAAAGAUCCAUUUCUUAAUUAUUUCCUACAAUCCUGGAGCUAUAAAAAGCCCAAGUGAAUUUGCGCUAUUUCACUCCCGGUCCUUGGUUGGUUGAUGGUUGUUUUUUCCACACACCUCCCGCUUCUCUUCUGUUGGGAUCAAGUCUCUAAUUCAUGCCCCUGUAUCCGGGGGUAGGAAGCUGAGCAGCUGGGACGUCCUCCCCUCUGGCUUCUGUCUAGGACCAGCCAAUGGGAGGCGAGCAGGAGACUGGAGGGAAGGCAGGAGAGCGGAAAGGUCUGAAGAACAUGUUCAUUGUCAUUGUUGUUUACUAAAAUGCUCCUGGUUUCAUAACUAAUAAAAAGUACUCACUAAAAUAGGAACAGAUGAAUACUUCUUUAACUUGAAAAAAAAAUACAGCUAGCUAGCAUUCUGCUUACUGGGAAAAUACUAGAAUCAGCCCACUGAAUUUAGGAACAAGAGAAGAAUACUCAUUAUCACUAUUACAAUUUUGCUGAAGGUACUAGCAGUCACAACUAGAUCUGAUAAAAACUUAAAGUAUGAAAAAAAGAAAAAACACUUUAACUAUUUGCAGAGGAUAUGACUGUAUGCUUUCUUUAAAAAAAAAAAAAAAGAUUUAUUUAUUUAUUUGAAAGUCAGAGUUACACAGAGAGAGGAGAGGCAGAAAGAGAGAGAGGUCUUCUACCCUCUGGUUCACUUCCCAAUGGGCCAAAACAGCCAGAGCUGCGCCGAACCGAAGCCAGGAGCCAGAAGCUUCUUCCAGAUCUCCCACACGGGUGCAGGGACCCAAGGACUUGGGCCAUCUUCUGCUGCUUUCCCAGGCCACAGCAGAGAGCUGGAUGGGAAGUGAAGCAGCCUGGACUCAAACCGGCACCCAUAUGGGAUGCCGACGCUUCAGGCCAAGGCGUUAACCCACUGCACCACAGCACCGGCCCCUGGUUAUAUGCUUUCAAAGCGAACACUCAACUAACAAAUUACUGUAAACUAUAAAACAGUUCCAUGAAAAGAUGUAAAUUAAUACCAGAAAGCAAUCAGUCUCAUAUAUGCAAGUAAAAACCUAUUCAAAUUUAUAAGGAUGAAGGGCCUUUUUAAAAUUAGCAGCAACAAAACAAAGAGAAAAACUCUAGGAAUACAUUUCAGAAGAAAUGCACAAGCCCUAUACAUAGAAAACAUUAAAACCAAAGAACCCCAAUUAGCAUUGACUAGGUAGAAAGACAUACUUGGGCAGGAAAAUUUGAAAGUGUUAAAAACCAAAUCUCUCUAGGUUAAUUUAAAAUUUUAAUGCAGUCCUCCGACCCCAAAGCAAACCAACUUCUGUUGAGCUUGAUAAGGUAAUUCUCAAAUAUACACUGAGGUCAGUAGGAUAAUAACCAGAAGAGAAAUAUGUAUCUCAGAGUGCCUAAUUGAGUCCUGGCUCUGCCUCCAAUUCCAGCUUCCUGCUAAUGCACCUGGGAGGCAGCAGGUGAUGACUCAAGUACUAGGGCCCCUGGACCCGCAUGGAGACCCGGGAAAGAAGCUUCUGGCUCCUGGCUUCGGAUCAGCUCAGCUCUGGACGUUGCAGCCAUUUGGGAAAUGAACCAGCGGAUGGAAGACCUCUCUCUCUCUCUCUGCCUCUCCUCUCUCUGUGUAACUCUGACUUUCAAAUAAAUAAAUAAAUCUUUUAAAAAAUCCAUAAGUUCAAUAAUUGUUUUAUGAGAUUGUAAAUUGAUGAGACACCAUGGAGGAAAAUUUUUCAAGACCCGUAAAUCUUGGGGCCGGUGCUAUGGCAUAGUGGGUAAAGCUGCCUCCUGCGGCACCAGCAUCCCAUAUGGGUUCCAGUUUGACUUCCAGCUGCUCCACUUCCACCCCAGCUCUCUGCUAAUGCACCUGGGUAAGCAGUGGAAGGUGGCCCAAAUGUUUAUGCUCCUGCACCCAGAUGGAAGACCCAGAAGAAGCUAUUGGCUCCUGGCUUUGGAUCAGCUCAGCUUUGGCUGUUGCAGCCAUUUGGGGAGUGAACCAGCAGAUGGAAGACCUUUCUCUCUGUCUCCCCCUCUCUGUAACUCCCACCUCUCAAAUAAAUAAAUAAAAUCUUCUAAAAAAUUAAAAAUUUAGGGGCCAGCAUUGUGGUAUGGCAAGUAAAGCCACUGCCUACAAUGCCAGUAUUCCAUAUGGGCACUAGUUUGUGUCUCAACUGCUCUACUUCUGAUCCAGCACCCUGCUAAUGUGCCUAGGAAAGCAAUGGAAGAUGGCCCAUGUGUUUGACCUGGAAAAAGCUGCUGGCUCCUGGCUUCAGCCUGACCAAGCCCUGGCCAUUUCUGCCAUCUGGGGAGUGAACCAACAGAUGGAAGAUCUUUCUCUCUCUCUCUUUCUCUCUCUAUAACUCUGACUUUCAAAUAAAUAAAUAAAUCUUUUUUAAAAAAUCAAAAUUAAAAAAUGACCUAGAUAUAUAGAUUAUUCAUUAUUUACAAUUGCAAGAUUAGAAAUAACCCAUUCUUGAUAUAAAACUAGUUUAAAUAAAUCAUAAUUCACUUAUUAAUAAAACAUGCAGCCAAUAUAAAAUAAAUACAUAGAAAAAGAAUAUAAUGUAUAUGUUCUAUAAUAUGGGAAAAAGUGGGAUUUUUUUCUUAAUUUGAGAGGCAAAGAGACAGGUGCAGGAAUAGAGCUCCUAUUUAUUGGUUCACUUCCUAAAUGCCUUCAAUGGCUGAAAUCAAGCUGGGAACUCAACCCAGAUCUAUAUGGGUAACAGGGGCUUAAAUGCUUGAGCUGUCACCUGCUGCCUCCCAUGGUCUACACUGGCAGGAAGCUAAAAUUAGGCUGUACAGCCAGGAGUUGAACGAAGGCACUCCAGUGCAAGAUGUUGGUGAUUUAACCAGCAUCUUUACCACUAGGCCAACCAUCUGCCCCCAAGAGAUUUUUAAUGAAAAAUACAAGGUAUAGAGCAACAUGCACUGUUGGCUACCUUGUGUGUGAAAAAGGAAAAUAUAGAAUAUAUAUUAGUAUUUAUUUGUAUUACAUAGACAAUCCUGUAGUGAUUUCAAGAACCCAGUAAGAGUGGACUGGGGGUAGAAAAAUGGAAAUGGAAGAUAGGAUAGGAAGAGAGACUUUUUACCUUUUGUAUUUUUUUAAUGUUUGAAUCAUAUAUAUGUAUUACUUAGUCAAAUAUUAAAUAUAAAAGAGUGCUUGUUUAAAAAUCAAAUGGUAUAGAGGAGUGAACCAGCAGAUGGAAGACUUCUCUCUCUCUGUGGCCCUGCCUCUCUCUGUAAGUCUAUCUUUCAAGUAAAUAAAUAAAUCUUUAAAAAAAGAAAUAUCAAAUGGUACGAAAGCCAAAUGGUUCAAUUCAUCCAACAGCACUGAUGGCUUUUUUUUUAAAGAUUUGUUUUUUAUUUAUUUGAAAGAUAGACUUACAGAGAGGCAGAGGCAGAGAGAAAGAGAGAGAGAGAGAGAGAGAGAGAGAGGUCUUCCAUUUGCUGGUUCAUUCUCCCAAAUGGCCACAACAACCAGAGCUGGGCCGAUCUGAAGCCAGGAGCCAAGAGCUGCCUCCGGGUCUCCCACGCAGGUGCAGGAGCCCAAGGAUUUCCCAGGCCAUAGAGAGAGCUGGAUCAGAAGCAGAGCAGCCGGGACUUGAACCAGCGCCCCCAUGAGAGGCCGACACUGCGGGCAGCAGCUUCACCCACAACGCCAUAGCUCCCACCCGUGACUGACCUUUAAU